CCAGACUCCUACGGGAGGCAGCAGUGGGGAAUAUUGCACAAUGGGGGAAACCCUGAUGCAGCGACGCCGCGUGAGUGAAGAAGUAAUUCGUUACGUAAAGCUCUAUCAGCAGGGAAGAGAAUGACGGUACCUGAGUAAGAAGCCCCGGCUAACUACGUGCCAGCAGCCGCGGUAAUACGUAGGGGGCAAGCGUUAUCCGGAUUUACUGGGUGUAAAGGGAGCGUAGACGGCAUGGCAAGUCUGAAGUGAAAGCCCGGGGCUCAACCGCGGGACUGCUUUGGAAACUGUUAAGCUGGAGUGCAGGAGAGGUAAGUGGAAUUCCUAGUGUAGCGGUGAAAUGCGUAGAUAUUAGGAGGAACACCAGUGGCGAAGGCGGCUUACUGGACUGUAACUGACGUUGAGGCUCGAAAGCGUGGGGAGCAAACAGGAUUAGAUACCCGGGUAUC
Molecule: ribosomal RNA, 446 nt
Filed under: uncultured bacterium
Lineage: Bacteria
Description: bacterial SSU rRNA
Rfam family: Bacterial small subunit ribosomal RNA
Source: RNAcentral